GUUGAGGAAGAGGAUGGUGUGAGAGAUGGUGGAGGUGCAAACAGGGAACCAAAAGAUGAUCGAGGUGCAAAUAGGGAACCAAAACUAGACAUGUUAUUAUAGGAUUAGCUCUUUUCCGAAAAUAUUAUUGGCUUUUGCACCUCUUCGUUGACUAAUAUUAUUAACCAUAACUAAAAUCCAAACUGGAUAUCAUACCGUCCACUACUUAAUUACUCCACUAUUGCCU
Molecule: unclassified non-coding RNA, 226 nt
Filed under: Hevea brasiliensis (rubber tree)
Lineage: Eukaryota; Viridiplantae; Streptophyta; Magnoliopsida; Malpighiales; Euphorbiaceae
Source: RNAcentral